AGAAAGUUAGUCUAACUAAGACAGUUGAUUUCGACUCAACAGAUUAUAGCUCGCCCUAUAACUUUCUU
RNAcentral lists this transfer RNA (68 nucleotides) under Urocissa caerulea (Formosan magpie). RNAcentral describes it as "tRNA-Arg". Lineage: Eukaryota; Metazoa; Chordata; Aves; Passeriformes; Corvidae. The record is from RNAcentral.